CGGACGGGUGAGUAACACGUGGAUAACCUACCUAUAAGACUGGGAUAACUUCGGGAAACCGGAGCUAAUACCGGAUAAUAUAUUGAACCGCAUGGUUCAAUAGUGAAAGACGGUUUUGCUGUCACUUAUAGAUGGAUCCGCGCCGCAUUAGCUAGUUGGUAAGGUAACGGCUUACCAAGGCAACGAUGCGUAGCCGACCUGAGAGGGUGAUCGGCCACACUGGAACUGAGACACGGUCCAGACUCCUACGGGAGGCAGCAGGG
This 263-nucleotide ribosomal RNA is filed under the name uncultured Staphylococcus sp. RNAcentral describes it as "partial 16S ribosomal RNA". It matches the Rfam family "Bacterial small subunit ribosomal RNA", at positions 99 to 354 of the family's 1533-position model. The record is from RNAcentral. Lineage: Bacteria; Bacillati; Bacillota; Bacilli; Caryophanales; Staphylococcaceae.